Molecule: ribosomal RNA, 406 nt
Filed under: uncultured bacterium
Lineage: Bacteria
Description: partial 16S ribosomal RNA
Rfam family: Bacterial small subunit ribosomal RNA
Source: RNAcentral
AUUGAACGCUGGCGGCAGGCCUAACACAUGCAAGUCGAACGAGUAGCGGAGGGGUGAGUAAGGUAUGGGAAACUGGCUGACGGAGGGGGAUAACGACUGGAAACGUUGGCAACAAGCGCUUACAGUCGUUUGUGGCCAGAUGGGAUUAGCUAGUAGGUGGGGUAAAGGCUCACCUAGGCGACGAUCCCUAGCCGGUCUGAGAGGAUGACCAGCAACACUGGAACUGAGACACGGUCCAGACUCCUACGUGAGGCAGCAGUAGGGAAUAUUGCACAAUGGGCGAAAGCCUGAUGCAGCCAUGCCGCGUGUAUGAAGAAGGCCUUCGGGUUGUAAAGUACUUUCAGCGGGGAGGCGUUACCCGCAGAAGAAGCACCGGCUAACUCCGUGCCAGCAGCCGCGGUAAUAC